Molecule: ribosomal RNA, 484 nt
Filed under: uncultured bacterium
Lineage: Bacteria
Description: partial 16S ribosomal RNA
Rfam family: Bacterial small subunit ribosomal RNA
Source: RNAcentral
AUUGAACGCUGGCGGCAGGCCUAACACAUGCAAGUCGAGCGGAUGAAGGGAGCUUGCUCCUGGAUUCAGCGGCGGACGGGUGAGUAAUGCCUAGGAAUCUGCCUGGUAGUGGGGGAUAACGUCCGGAAACGGGCGCUAAUACCGCAUACGUCCUGAGGGAGAAAGUGGGGGAUCUUCGGACCUCACGCUAUCAGAUGAGCCUAGGUCGGAUUAGCUAGUUGGUGGGGUAAAGGCCGACCAAGGCGACGAUCCGUAACUGGUCUGAGAGGAUGAUCAGUCACACUGGAACUGAGACACGGUCCAGACUCCUACGGGAGGCAGCAGUGGGGAAUAUUGGACAAUGGGCGAAAGCCUGAUCCAGCCAUGCCGCGUGUGUGAAGAAGGUCUUCGGAUUGUAAAGCACUUUAAGUUGGGAGGAAGGACAGUAAGUUAAUACCUUGCUGUUUUGACGUUACCAACAGAAUAAGCACCGGCUAACUUCGUG